RNAcentral lists this ribosomal RNA (496 nucleotides) under uncultured bacterium. RNAcentral describes it as "partial 16S ribosomal RNA". It matches the Rfam family "Bacterial small subunit ribosomal RNA", at positions 29 to 507 of the family's 1533-position model. The record is from RNAcentral.
AUGCACGCUGGCGGCGUGCCUCAUACAUGCAGGUCGAGCGAACAGAUGAGGAGCUUGCUCCUCUGACGUUAGCGGCGGACGGGUGAGUAACACGUGGAUAACCUACCUAUAAGACUGGGAUAACUUCGGGAAACCGGAGCUAAUACCGGAUAAUAUAUUGAACCGCAUGGUUCAAUAGUGAAAGACGGUUUUGCUGUCACUUAUAGAUGGAUCCGCGCCGCAUUAGCUAGUUGGUAAGGUAACGGCUUACCAAGGCAACGAUGCGUAGCCGACCUGAGAGGGUGAUCGGCCACACUGGAACUGAGACACGGUCCAGACUCCUACGGGAGGCAGCAGUAGGGAAUCUUCCGCAAUGGGCGAAAGCCUGACGGAGCAACGCCGCGUGAGUGAUGAAGGUCUUCGGAUCGUAAAACUCUGUUAUUAGGGAAGAACAAAUGUGUAAGUAACUAUGCACGUCUUGACGGUACCUAAUCAGAAAGCCACGGCUAACUACGUG